Molecule: long non-coding RNA, 2915 nt
Filed under: Betta splendens (Siamese fighting fish)
Lineage: Eukaryota; Metazoa; Chordata; Actinopteri; Anabantiformes; Osphronemidae
Description: lncRNA (ENSBSLG00000013702.1)
Source: RNAcentral
AUGAAUGUCAGGUUUUAUUCUUCUUCUACACAAUUCAUUUAUUUCUUGCUCACCUAUGAAAUAUGGAUGUGCUCGUUUCCUAUAAUUGGACUUCUUUGGGGUUUUGGAGCGUGGGCCGGACCGUGGACUGGAGCUGGGUCUAAAUGUCAGCGGGCAGGAACCGGGCCGCUCGCUAAUGAGCGUCCACGUCUUCGGACUGUGGGAGGAGUGAGACAACAGGAAACGCAGAGGCGAUCAGGAGCUGAUUAGCAGGACAGAUAUGCUGAGAGAGAGCGUCGCCUGCUUCCUAACGCUCCCGACCGCGGAGGCAGUAAAUCAUAAAUGUGAAAGCUUCACCGAAAGGCUCUUCUGUCUGUUUUUCAGCGCCAUCACCGCUGCAAUGUUUCAUUUAUGAGCCACAGGCCUCCUCCUCCUCCCAAACAAACAAGAGCGAGGAGUCGCGGCCGCACUCGGAGCAGUGCUUUAAAUAUUUCACCAGCCAGAAGGAGCAAAUGGGCUUUGGAUGCGCAAAGGUCAAGGUGAAACGGCAGGAUUCACGCGGGUGCCGUUUUUAGGGCUCUGAUGGGAAAUCAGAAAUCAGCCUCCGAUCGCCAGCGGGUCGAUGCCGCUCUCUCUCCAGCUCCGAGCGCCGCUGGGCGAUCGACCUUGAUCCUCUGCAACGCGUGGCCUCGGCCUCCGGGACGUGCGGAGGCUCCUCUGCACGCGUUGGGCGUGGUGGUUGCUAGGCAACCAGGGCAACGCCCUGACCCUCUGUGUGCAGGUGGAGCUCACUGACAUCCUGCGUUGCUCUCAGGCAUUCCUCUGAUUCCUGAAGGGUGACGCUGUGACGCGUUCAGGGCCCGCGUGGCUGUAGGGCUUCUUCCAAACAACAAACACAGUGUGUGACUGCACCUAGAAACCGACGUCGCUGCGGUUUCAAGGCCAUUUCAACGCGAUGUGGUUCACGAAAGGUCAGGAUCAUUAAAAGUGGACCAAUCAACUGAGGGUGAAGCAGCAACAGCGUCGUCUAAACCACAGUUAAGGAAGUAAAAGGAGCUAGGAAUGAAAAUACUAAUUGUACACUACAAGCAUCCACUUCUUUAUGUACCCCAUGUACUGUAUUAUGGGAUGUGGGGUCACGAGGGACAUGAGGAAGAUCCAGAUGUGAGAAUACCAGACCUCCAAGUUCCAAAUUCCUAUCUCAACCAUGCAUGUGUGGACUUUUUAGCACAGAGAAGCUAAAGGUCAGACUACCCAGUGUGUAAUGACGCCGGAGCGUAGCCUGAUGAUGUGCGCUUGGUGUUUGAUAGCAAACGCCAACUUCAGACAUGAUACUUGGCCAUUGCAUAACCUCAACUCAACUUUCACGCGGCAGCAGAAUUUGAAAUAGCUCACAUUAGACAUGCAGCCGAGCUGUAAAAUUUCACUCUUUCAAAGCCCCGGAGUGUGUGUGUGUGUGUGUGUGUGUGUGUGUGUGUGUGUGUGUGUGUGUGUGUGUGUGUGUGUGCGCGCGCGCACGCACGCGUUUCUCAUUACAGGAUCAACUCUUUCAUCCCGGGGUUCAAAGCGCCGCCCCGGCCGACGGCGGUGGGCGAGCAGAUAUGUGAUGGAGUGAGAGGAGGAGGCGGAGGGGAGCAGGGGAUCAUGGGAGAACGGGGUGGAUGAGGAGGAAGGCAGAGAAAGGUGGAACUGCUGCUUUUAAAUGUGAGACGCUUGUUGGUCCAGUCUCCUGUGGGUGUUUGCCUCCACGCUCCACUCUAACUUGCAGCUUGGUCAGAUCUUGUUCCACGGGGCCAGAGAUAUUUUCUUUUUUUUUUAUUAUCCUACAGUCCCUGUCAUAGGAAAUCAAUAGAGCUUCAUUCUGCUGCCGUGGCUUUCGGUGGGGGAACGAGUGCCUCUGCGCACAGCUGCUGGUGGAGCCUUUACAUCAACCGUAUGGAGACGAGAGGCGGCUCCCGACCGGGGAACAGGUGCGUGGACAGCAUGUGACCACCUGCGUCUCCCCGUCGUCGCCCAGCAGCGAGGGUGGGGAGGUGUCACCUUCCAGCUUUCCAUCCUCUGACCUUUGACCUCCUGAGGCGACUCACUUGGCCUUAGCCCUGGCUGUCUGUCAAGACCUUUAACCUACAUAUAUAAAAAAAAACACCUAGAACUGAAGGUGAACGUCAAUAUGAUUCUAACUUCAUGGAACUACUAGUGACUUGUAUCAGACUUAUUUGCAAUGCAUUCUGGGUGGUGGCACCACACUGAUCUUGGUCUUAUUGUGAGACAGGAAUGUCGUCUGUUCGGCCUUUUUGCGUGACAGAGCCUUACAUUGUGCGCGAUAACAUUGGAAAGUGAAAGCGCCGGGUGUGAAACCUGUUGUCACGAGGACCAUCACUACAAAUGGACUGUUUUCCCAUGGCUGCUUCUCAUUUCCUCGUAGCAGGGGUGCUCCUCUAUUUUGACAGGUUGCGCUCCCUGCCAGGACCUGAUCAACCUGCUGGGUUUCUGAGCAGGAAGUGUUUGACUUAGUGCAUUCGCUGCGGUCCUUCUGGGGAAUCAGCGCAGCUGCGUCGCUGCGAGGAGGAAAGCGCGGACACGUUGAACACGUGAACAUUUCUCAUGUGCAGGUAUUCGCACUGAUGUGUGUUGCAGCAUGAAACUAUGAUUUUGCUGGUCUUCAUAAAUAAUCGAUUACACGGUUGCUCCUCAUUAUUGUUGAUGAGACACUGUCUAAAUAAGAGCCCGUCAAACAGAACGAAAUCUCAGCAACCUUGGACGAUAUAAAAAGCGCCUCCGCUUCUGAUUUGACGGCUUAACGGCAAAGAGCCUGGGAAGAAAAAACAAAAACGGGCCGAGACUCCGCCGAAUCCGUCUGCCGCUGUUAUUUAAUGCAGGAGGUAUUCUGGGCUGCGGGAUGAAUAAAACAUCAGAGCACCUUGUUUUUUUUUCCA